RNAcentral lists this ribosomal RNA (880 nucleotides) under human gut metagenome. RNAcentral describes it as "bacterial SSU rRNA". It matches the Rfam family "Bacterial small subunit ribosomal RNA", at positions 8 to 896 of the family's 1533-position model. The record is from RNAcentral.
AGAGUUUGAUCCUGGCUCAGGACGAACGCUGGCGGCGUGCCUAACACAUGCAAGUCGAACGAAGCUUUGAGGAGCUUGCUUUUUAAAGCUUAGUGGCGGACGGGUGAGUAACGCGUGAGCAACCUGCCUCUCAGAGGGGGAUAACGUUUUGAAAAGAACGCUAAUACCGCAUAACAUAUCGGAACCGCAUGAUUCUGAUAUCAAAGGAGCAAUCCGCUGAGAGAUGGGCUCGCGUCCGAUUAGUUAGUUGGUGAGGUAACGGCUCACCAAGACUACGAUCGGUAGCCGGACUGAGAGGUUGAUCGGCCACAUUGGGACUGAGACACGGCCCAGACUCCUACGGGAGGCAGCAGUGGGGGAUAUUGCGCAAUGGGGGAAACCCUGACGCAGCAACGCCGCGUGAAGGAAGAAGGUCUUCGGAUUGUAAACUUCUUUUGUCAGGGACGAAGAAAGUGACGGUACCUGACGAAUAAGCUCCGGCUAACUACGUGCCAGCAGCCGCGGUAAUACGUAGGGAGCGAGCGUUGUCCGGAUUUACUGGGUGUAAAGGGUGCGUAGGCGGCCGAGCAAGUCAGUUGUGAAAACUAUGGGCUUAACCCAUAACGUGCAAUUGAAACUGUCCGGCUUGAGUGAAGUAGAGGUAGGCGGAAUUCCCGGUGUAGCGGUGAAAUGCGUAGAGAUCGGGAGGAACACCAGUGGCGAAGGCGGCCUACUGGGCUUUAACUGACGCUGAGGCACGAAAGCAUGGGUAGCAAACAGGAUUAGAUACCCUGGUAGUCCAUGCCGUAAACGAUGAUUACUAGGUGUGGGGGGACUGACCCCUUCCGUGCCGCAGUUAACACAAUAAGUAAUCCACCUGGGGAGUACGGCCGCAAGGUUG